Cygnus olor (mute swan) is the source of this 914-nucleotide long non-coding RNA. RefSeq lists it as uncharacterized. The record is from RefSeq and is a predicted model, not a curated record. The transcript is spliced from 3 exons. Lineage: Eukaryota; Metazoa; Chordata; Aves; Anseriformes; Anatidae.
GGUGAGAGUAUCUCCACCUUCCUGGCAUCCCCCAGCACGCAGGAUGAUACAGAAGGUGAGCGAGGGCUGGAGAAACUUCCAGCAAGCACCCACGGGCAAUGGCUGCUCGCUCUUCAAACCUGACAGUGGGUGAGAAGCUUGGGAGUUUGCUGGGAAUUUCUGAUUUACUGGGGCAUAACGGCUUGAACUCAGGGCCUUUUAAGUUUUGCAUUACGCAGGCUGGAUAUUUAAUAUUUAAUGUACAGAAAAAGGCAAAGGCGGGUAGCUGACACCUCUCUUGAAACAGAAAUCUCUAUUAUGGUAAUCUCGAAGCAGGUCUGUUAUUGUUAUCGCUUCACUUGCUGCAGUGGCCUAACAUAAAUGCAAGGAGCAGGGAGGGCAGCCUCAUUUGCCAGGUGCCAGAGGAAGGGGAGGGUCAGAAGCUUGCAGUCUGAAAGGAGGAGGAGGAGGAUGAAGGAUGUGGGGGCAGGAGUGGCCCUGGUGCAGAAGUGCUCUGAGCACAGUGCAGCUGAGUCCUGCUGAACAUCCGUCCAGGCCUGGUGAGAAUACAGGUGGUGACUUCCAGCCGGAUCCUCUGCCCUCCUCGCAGAAGGAAGCUAAUGGGUUUUGUGGGAAAGCUGCACUGCGAUUGCUAUUUGCAGAAAAUAAAGCAUUCACCAAAACUCUUAAUUCUGCGUUAUCGUGAGGAGAUUGGACAGCAAAAUGCUUUUCACAGCACUCCAUUGCUAGGAGUUCAGAGAUGACAGUAAAUCUCCAUUUCUAAGUCAUUGCACCUUUUAGCUGAAAAACAACUUGAACAGCGAACAAAGCACCGAAAGAAACAGCACAAGAAUUGCCUUUAAGAAAGGGCCUGAGGCUGCAAACCGCAAGGAGGAGGAGAAAGGUCCCUGCACCCUCGGUGAGGGCCAUGCGAG